This 20-nucleotide microRNA is filed under the name Aedes aegypti (yellow fever mosquito). Its description in RNAcentral is "aae-miR-275-3p". Its record names the gene aae-miR-275-3p. The record is from miRBase by way of RNAcentral. Lineage: Eukaryota; Metazoa; Arthropoda; Insecta; Diptera; Culicidae. RNAcentral also lists the same sequence under 1 other name.
UCAGGUACCUGAAGUAGCGC